Molecule: ribosomal RNA, 429 nt
Filed under: Chloroflexota bacterium
Lineage: Bacteria; Bacillati; Chloroflexota
Description: Chloroflexi bacterium partial 16S ribosomal RNA
Rfam family: Bacterial small subunit ribosomal RNA
Source: RNAcentral
UGGGGAAUAUUGCACAAUGGGCGCAAGCCUGAUGCAGCCAUGCCGCGUGUAUGAAGAAGGCCUUCGGGUUGUAAAGUACUUUCAGCGGGGAGGAAGGGAGUAAAGUUAAUACCUUUGCUCAUUGACGUUACCCGCAGAAGAAGCACCGGCUAACUCCGUGCCAGCAGCCGCGGUAAUACGGAGGGUGCAAGCGUUAAUCGGAAUUACUGUGCGUAAAGCGCACGCAGGCGGUUUGUUAAGUCAGAUGUGAAAUCCCCGGGCUCAACCUGGGAACUGCAUCUGAUACUGGCAAGCUUGAGUCUCGUAGAGGGUGGUAGAAUUCCAGGUGUAGCGGUGAAAUGCGUAGAGAUCUGGAGGAAUACCGGUGGCGAAGGCGGCCCCCUGGACGAAGACUGACGCUCAGGUGCGAAAGCGUGGGGAGCAAACAGG